AAGUCGUAACAAGGUUUCCGUAGGUGAACCUGCGGAAGGAUCAUUAAAGUGAGGGAGUCGAACGCGCAAGCGAGACGCCCGCAACACACUCACCUUGUGUUUUGUUUGAUGUAGUUUGUGAGGUUUUGACUCUCACAUACGGGGUUUACCACGCUUAUUUUUCUACUAGACUCUCGUGGCAAUCGCCACAACAACAAUCGAAAACUGCCAGCAAUGGAUCACUCGGUUCUC
RNAcentral lists this unclassified non-coding RNA (231 nucleotides) under fungal sp. Its description in RNAcentral is "partial internal transcribed spacer region". The stretch from base 1 to 46 matches the Rfam family "Eukaryotic small subunit ribosomal RNA", at positions 1786 to 1831 of the family's 1831-position model. The record is from RNAcentral. Lineage: Eukaryota; Fungi.